AGUGAACGCUGGCGGUAGGCCUAACACAUGCAAGUCGAACGGCAGCACAGUAAGAGCUUGCUCUUACGGGUGGCGAGUGGCGGACGGGUGAGGAAUACAUCGGAAUCUACUUUUUCGUAGGGGGAUAACGUAGGGAAACUUACGCUAAUACCGCAUACGACCUACGGGUGAAAGCAGGGGAUCUUCGGACCUUGCGCGAUUGAAUGAGCCGAUGUCGGAUUAGCUAGUUGGCGGGGUAAAGGCCCACCAAGGCGACGAUCCGUAGCUGGUCUGAGAGGAUGAUCAGCCACACUGGAACUGAGACACGGUCCAGACUCCUACGGGAGGCAGCAGUGGGGAAUAUUGGACAAUGGGCGCAAGCCUGAUCCAGCCAUACCGCGUGGGUGAAGAAGGCCUUCGGGUUGCAAAGCCCUUUUGUUGGGAAAGAAAAGCAGCAGGUUAAUACCCCGCUGUUCUGACGGUACCCAAAGAAUAAGCACCGGCUAACUUCGUG
RNAcentral lists this ribosomal RNA (493 nucleotides) under uncultured bacterium. RNAcentral's name for it is "partial 16S ribosomal RNA". It matches the Rfam family "Bacterial small subunit ribosomal RNA", at positions 29 to 507 of the family's 1533-position model. The record is from RNAcentral.